RNAcentral lists this transfer RNA (73 nucleotides) under Marmota monax (woodchuck). RNAcentral's name for it is "tRNA.Ala". Lineage: Eukaryota; Metazoa; Chordata; Mammalia; Rodentia; Sciuridae. The record is from RNAcentral.
UGGGUUGUGGCUUAAUGGUAGAGUGCUUGCCUAGCAUGAAUGAGCAUGCUGGGUUGGGUCCCCAGCACCAUAU